This 494-nucleotide ribosomal RNA is filed under the name Campylobacter upsaliensis. RNAcentral describes it as "bacterial SSU rRNA". It matches the Rfam family "Bacterial small subunit ribosomal RNA", at positions 541 to 1030 of the family's 1533-position model. The record is from RNAcentral. Lineage: Bacteria; Pseudomonadati; Campylobacterota; Epsilonproteobacteria; Campylobacterales; Campylobacteraceae.
UUACUCGGAAUCACUGGGCGUAAAGGGCGCGUAGGCGGAUUAUCAAGUCUCUUGUGAAAUCUAAUGGCUUAACCAUUAAACUGCUUGGGAAACUGAUAGUCUAGAGUGAGGGAGAGGCAGAUGGAAUUGGUGGUGUAGGGGUAAAAUCCGUAGAUAUCACCAAGAAUACCCAUUGCGAAGGCGAUCUGCUGGAACUCAACUGACGCUAAGGCGCGAAAGCGUGGGGAGCAAACAGGAUUAGAUACCCUGGUAGUCCACGCCCUAAACGAUGUAUGCUAGUUGUUGGGGUGCUAGUCAUCUCAGUAAUGCAGCUAACGCAUUAAGCAUACCGCCUGGGGAGUACGGUCGCAAGAUUAAAACUCAAAGGAAUAGACGGGGACCCGCACAAGCGGUGGAGCAUGUGGUUUAAUUCGAAGAUACGCGAAGAACCUUACCUAGGCUUGAUAUCCAACAAAUUCUGUAGAGAUACGGAAGUGCUAGCUUGCUAGAAUGUU